GCGCCCGUAGCUCAGUUGGCAGAGCGGUGGUACGGUACCCCACGGUUUCGGAUUCAAAUGCCGGCGGUCGCU
Phthorimaea operculella (potato tuberworm) is the source of this 72-nucleotide non-coding RNA. NCBI's taxonomy places the organism in Eukaryota, Metazoa, Arthropoda, Insecta, Lepidoptera, Gelechiidae. The record is from the annotation of a GenBank genome assembly.